CCUACGGGUGGCUGCAGUAGGGAAUCUUCCACAAUGGGCGAAAGCCUGAUGGAGCAACGCCGCGUGGGUGAAGAAGGUCUUCGGAUCGUAAAACUCUGUUGUUAGAGAAGAAAGUGCGUGAGAGUAACUGUUCCCGAUUCGACGGUAUCUAACCAGGAAGCCACGGCUAACUACGUGCCAGCAGCCGCGGUAAUACGGAGGUUGCAAGCGUUAACCGGAUUUACUGGGCGUAAAGGGCACGCCGGCUGUCUUUUAAGUCUGGUGUGAAAGCCUCGGGCUUACCGGGGGAAGUGCAUUGGAAACUGGCAGACUGGAGUGCAGAAGAGGAGAGUGGAAUUCCAGGUGUAGCAGUGAAAUGCGUAGAUGUAUGGAGGAACACCAGUGGCGAAGGCGGCUAUCUGG
This 402-nucleotide ribosomal RNA is filed under the name uncultured bacterium. RNAcentral's name for it is "partial 16S ribosomal RNA". It matches the Rfam family "Bacterial small subunit ribosomal RNA", at positions 338 to 732 of the family's 1533-position model. The record is from RNAcentral.